CCUCUGGCAGCACGCCCCAUACCUGCACCACCCUCUGUGUGAAGAAGUGGUCCCUUUUAAACUAGAGAGUAAACCAGCAAGUAUUAUAAAACUCUGUGGUACACCUGUUUCUUUAAGUGUAUGAGAAAGGAGGGGGGAAAAGGGCCAAAGUGAUCAUAGGUUCCAUAGAAAGUGAGGCUGGGGAGCCAGGAAAUUGUAGAGGAGCUGAGUAUUUCACAUCCGUCUUCACAAUAGAUUAAUAGGAUUCUGAAAAUGCCAAGCACAGAAGCAAAAAGUGGGAAGGAAGUAAAGGGCGAAUGAGAAUAAAGGAUACAGGCAGAAAGCAGGAGCAGGGUCCAGCCAUGGUCAUAUCGAAUGGUGCAGCAGGCUUGAUAGGUUGAAUGGCCUCCUUCUGCUCCUACUUACUAUAACUAUCACCAGAAAAAAAUUAAUAGGAACUCAUGGGGCUAAAAGGUGUGAUGGGUUGCAUCCUAGGGUAUUAAAGCAAAUAGAUAAAGAGAUAGUGGAAGCAUUGGUGAUAAUUUUCCAAGUGUCUUUAGACUCUGGGGGGAAAAAAUAAAUCCUAGAUGAUUAGGAAAACAUUGAAAAUAACACUGUUAUUCAAAAAGGGAAGGAGACAAAAAAAAAUACACUUAACCAUAUGCCAGUUAGCUUAAUACCUGAAAUUGGGAAAAUAUUGGAGAGUCUAUGAAAGGAUGUAAUAUCGGUGCAUUUUGAAAUACGUAAUCAAGCAGAGUCAUCAUUCCUGCCAAAUUUAUUCAAAUUCUUUGAGGAGGUAACAAGCAGGUCAAAUGAAGGGGACCGUGGAAUUGUAAUGUAUUUGGAUUUCCAGAAGACGUUUGAUAAGGCUACUUAAAAAUAUAAAAACCCAGGGUUUUCUGGAUAAUAUAUUGGCAAGGAUAGAAGAUUGGUAAUUAUUAGAAGAUUUGAAUAAGGAUAGCAUUUUCAAGAUGGCAACCUGUAACUAUAAUGGAGUGCCACAGGGAUCAGUGCUGGGGCCACAGUUACUUAGUAUAUAUAAUAGUGAAUUGGAUGAGGUAAGUGAAUGUACAAGAAUUUACAACACACACAUUUUUAGUCAGUAAGGGAGUCGGGGAAUGUAGAGAAAAGUCAGGAAAGUGGGGUUGAGGGUUAUCAGCCAUGAUCUCAUUGAACGACAGGGCAGACUCGAUGGAACGAAUGGUCUAUUUUCUGCUCUUACAUCUUAUCGUCUUAACUCUAGCAGCAACAGAUUGAUCAUCUGGUCUUGUCAGAAUGGCUUUUGCUAUGUAAAUUCAAUACUAUGCAAUAGUAUUACCUUAGCUGAUUUAAUUUAGUUUAAAAUAUUUUUGCAGAGUGGAAAGUGUUGGUGAAUUUCAGAUACAGGUCAGAAACAAACAUUUAAGUUGUUUGUUAAAAUAAUUGAGAAAGAAGGCAGUUCUAUUGACCUCUACUCCCGUCUUUUUAAUUGAUAGUGUGACAACUGUGGCACAGAACCAAUUCUUGGAUUACGUUGGCAUUGUCAGGACUGCCCACCAGAGAGUUCGGUUGAUUUCUGCGACAGUUGUUCAGACUGCCUGUAUGAAACGGAGACUCACAAAGCUGACCACCAACUGGACCCUGUCUAUAAGGCUGAGACAUUUCUGGACAGAGAUUACUGCAUGUCUCAGGACACCAGUUACAACUACCUUGAUCCGAACUACUUCCCAGCAAACAGAUGACACAAAGGGCAAAGUUGGGGAGGAAGAAAGAAACAGACUCCCGGAGGGAGUUGACUCUCUGUUCUUCAGUGCAUUGCAAAGUCAGGCUUCAUUCGUUGAUUCCUUGCACAGAUCGAAAGCGUCCUGCUGCUGUUCCAAAAAAACAAAGUCAGUGUCCGCAGGUGAGCUUCAGUGGGUCCCCUCAUUGACUAUGACCCUGAGCUGCCCGUGGCCCUUUACAAGUCAUUCAACAGCAGGUGAACAUUCCUAACGUACAGUGGGUUUCCUUGAGUUGCCUUCCACGCACUCUCCUCUGUUUGUCUGUCUCAUGCUCUCUCUUGCUCAAAGUUCUGUUCACAUCUGUUGAUGGAAAUGGAGGAGGAAGGGAAGGCAAAGCAGUUGCAAACUGCACAGGCCCAAUUAUUUAAUUCCAAAGGCAAGAUCAGUUUCUAUGACAAAAACUGAACUCUUAACCAUAAUAUGAUGUAGAUAAAUGUCUGUGUAGGCGAGUAUUUAUGGAACCACGAUACGUUAAAGUUUCCUAUUAUGUUGUGUAGUGUGUAGUCCUAGUGCCACGAAAGGGAGCUACCUUUUGUUGUUGGAAUGAAAGUUCUAGGUUUUACACAAGAGAAAGUUGAAUUUAACAAACUAGUAAAAUUGACUGUAGCGAUGCAGGUUAAGAUCCUGAGCAUUGAACUUGCCUAACACAAUCAGCUGCUUACUCCCAAAAGGCCUCAUGCCUUCUCAGCCCUUCCCCCGAGCAACCGCGAAGCACUACGUGAGGCAAAGAAUGCCAGGGCAAUAAUGAAGAAAUGUGGAUGUGUUGUCCCUUCACACCCAAUGUCACGUCUCUUCCAACCAGCCUCCGCCUUCUCUCCUGCCCAACAAAACAAAACUGCACGGAAGAAGUUUGAAUACAAGUGAGUCGUCAGUGAAAGUGUUUUUAGAUGUAAUGUGAUAUAAAACGACUAUGUAAUGUGUACUAAAAUAUGGUGAAAAAAGUACAGUGGUAGCAACAGUGUACAUCACUUUAUAUAAACACACCUCCACCAACUUCAGAAUCAAAUAGACCCCUCCCUCUCACUACCCCUUCGAAAUGGGAAUUGUCCCCACAACUCAUUAACAAAACUGCCUGUUAAAGAUAAUCAAGUAUUAUAAUAAAUUCCCUUUUUUGUAGUCUGCACAAAAGCUCCAAUUGCUGAAAGAUUGUAUUUUUACGAUGUAUUUAAAUGAUUGAUUGAUACUAGUCAGCGGUGAGCACUGGGUUCAGCUGCAAACUUUUAUACUAGUAGUUGUGCAUUGAUUAGAACAUUUUUGUAUGGUUUCAGUUUCUGGCCUCAUAUCUGUGUGUAUGCAAUAUGUUCUUAUACAGAUCUGUACAACUGUCAGGAGAGCUGUGAGAAAUAAAAAAAACAUGUGAAACUAG
Molecule: non-coding RNA, 3105 nt
Organism: Chiloscyllium plagiosum (whitespotted bambooshark)
Lineage: Eukaryota; Metazoa; Chordata; Chondrichthyes; Orectolobiformes; Hemiscylliidae
Source: RefSeq, a predicted model, not a curated record